GGAAAGUGCUACUUCUGGAACAAAAAGGAGGGGUGGACCAGGUGGUCUUAACAAAGUCUGUGGUGUUUCACCUGAACUUCAGGCUAUUGUUGGUCAACCCGCAAUGCCUAGGACAGAGAUUGUGAAGCAGCUGUGGGUGUACAUCAGGAAACACAACUUACAGGAUCCUGGUAACAAGCGGAAGAUUAUCUGCAACGAUGCUCUGCGAGCACUCUUUGAAACAGA
Molecule: unclassified non-coding RNA, 225 nt
Filed under: Hevea brasiliensis (rubber tree)
Lineage: Eukaryota; Viridiplantae; Streptophyta; Magnoliopsida; Malpighiales; Euphorbiaceae
Source: RNAcentral